Molecule: ribosomal RNA, 494 nt
Filed under: uncultured bacterium
Lineage: Bacteria
Description: partial 16S ribosomal RNA
Rfam family: Bacterial small subunit ribosomal RNA
Source: RNAcentral
GACGAACGCUGGCGGCGUGCUUUAGGCAUGCAAGUCGAACGCGAAAGCCCCUUCAGGGGUGAGUAGAGUGGCGAACGGGUGAGUAACACGUGGGUAACCUGCCCCUCGCAGGGGGAUAACCGGGGGAAACCCCGGCUAAUACCCCGUACGCUUGCUGGGGCGCAUGCUCCGGCAAGGAAAGGUAGCUUCGGCCAUCCGGCGAGGGAGGGGCCCGCGGCCCAUUAGCUAGUUGGUGGGGUAACGGCCCACCAAGGCGACGAUGGGUAGCGGGCCUGAGAGGGGGGUCAGCCACACUGGGACUGAGACACGGCCCAGACUCCUACGGGAGGCAGCAGCCAGGAAUCUUGCGCAAUGGGCGAAAGCCUGACGCAGCAACGCCGCGUGGGCGAUGAAGGCCUUCGGGUCGUAAAGCCCUGUUGUCGGGGACGAAGGGCGAAGGGUUAAUAGCCCCUAGCCUGACGGUACCCGACGAGGAAGCCCCGGCUAACUACGUG